RNAcentral lists this ribosomal RNA (650 nucleotides) under Sarcogyne sp. EH-2022a. RNAcentral's name for it is "SSU rRNA". It matches the Rfam family "Bacterial small subunit ribosomal RNA", at positions 381 to 1115 of the family's 1533-position model. Lineage: Eukaryota; Fungi; Ascomycota; Lecanoromycetes; Acarosporales; Acarosporaceae. The record is from RNAcentral.
GCUAGUUGUAUUGACUAUUAGUUAAUGCAAGAUCGACUAUGUCGACUAAAGUUCUAGGUAGAAUAAUGAUGAUGACAAUUUUCUACCUAUAUGUCUUGACCAAAUCUCGUGCCAGCAGUCGCGGUAAUACGUGGAAGACUAGUGUUAUUCAUCUUUAAUAGGUUUAAAGGGUACCUAGACGGUAUUUUUAGCCCAAAACAGGGUACGGAUUUACUAGAGUUUUAUGUGAGGAGGGGAGUACUCGUAGAGUAGAGAUGAAAUUUUUUGAUACUAUGAGGAAACUGGUGGCGGCGAAAGCAACCUUCUAUGUAUAAACUGACGUUGAGGGACGAAGGCUUGGGUAGCAAAUAGGAUUAGAUACCCUAGUAGUCCAAGCAGACAAUUCUGAAUGCCAUAGAUUAGAUUAUUUUUGGUCUAUAAAUGAAAGUGUAAGCAUUCCACCUUAGGAGUAAUGUGGCAACACAGGAACUGAAAUCAUUAGACCGUUUCUGAAACCAGUAGUGAAGUAUGUUAUUUAAUUUGAUAGUCCUCAAAAAACCUUACCACAACUUGAAUGUUAUUAAAUUAAUACAAGCGUUGCACGGCUGUCUUCAGUUAAUGUCGUGAGAUUUUGGUUAACUCCAUUAAUUAACGCAAACCCUUACUUUAUU